Long non-coding RNA from Mobula hypostoma (lesser devil ray), 1417 nucleotides. RefSeq lists it as uncharacterized. The record is from RefSeq and is a predicted model, not a curated record. The transcript has 4 exons. Lineage: Eukaryota; Metazoa; Chordata; Chondrichthyes; Myliobatiformes; Myliobatidae.
UCAUUCUUGGGUGCAAAAGCUGAUGGGGGAGGGGUGCAGCGAUGUUUUCUCAGUGCAGUUAGGUUUAAAGAGUUGGUAAUGGAGAGAUUUCAUGGAUACACGAGCACAGUCAUUGAAGAUUACUUCCCAAAUCUUGUACCAGCUGCAAACCAGCCAAGCAGAGUGAGCAGAAGUAUUUGCAUCCAAUCUCCGGUUGCAGCUACAAUUAUGCUGGUGAAAUCAUGAACCAAAUGCGUUCAGUGAUGACGCAGAAGAAAUACUGACCUUGUGAAAUAAUCUGAAUCAGUGAGAGUUCAACGGAGGUGCCGCAGGAUCAAUGUGGAUGAAAGAAUUCCUCAACCUGCUAAUGACAAGACUAUUGAUGACCACGACAGAUCAUCAUUCAGAAGUUGGGGCAGCAAGGUGGUGCUGGUUGUGUCACCGUCUGAUAUGGAAGUACCAAUGACCAAGGAUGGAAAAGCAGACAAAAAGUAGUGGAUGCAGCCCGGCCAUCACAGGUAAAGCACGUCUACAAGAAGCACUGUCACAAGAAAGCAGCAUUCAUCGUCAAGGACCCCCAACAUCCAGGCAUGUUCUGUUCUCACUGAUACCAUCAGGAAGCAGGUACAGGGGUCUCAGGUCCCAUACCACCAGGUUCAAGAACAGUUAUUACCUUUCAAGCAUCAGGCUCCUGAGCUCCUGAACCACCAUGGAUAACCUCACUUACCUCAGCACCUGAAGGUUCACUUUGAAGGACUCCACAACUCAUGUCACAGUAUACUUACUUAGUUAAUUUUUUUUUUGUAUUUGCACAGUUUGUAUUGUUCUGUUCAUUAGUAUUUAUUCAAUCUUGGUGUGUGGUUUUUCAUUCUGAGUCCGAGGCCUCCAGCGGUCAGGGUUGACUAUGGAUAUUGUGUCCUAGCUGUAUAGAUACGCAAGUCUGAGCAGUACAAUAUGGAGAGCAAGCUGUUGCCAAUGUAGCAAGCUCCCCCUCUCCAUGCAUCUGAGGAACCCAAAGAAACAGCAGAGACCAAUACAGUCAGUGCCAGCAGCAUCUCAGGAGUUGCCAGUCAGCAUUGAACUCAAUGUAGGACUGCCUUAGGGACUCCAGCUGCAGAUAUUUCCCCUCUGGGUUUACUCCCAAAGCCUUUCCCAUGAGUAUGUAUAGCCGCAACGUAGGGGAGGUUUGAGAUCAGAGUUUUCCUUUCCCUAGAUGAGGUGCCAACCACGGCUGACGAGCCCCGUGUGCCCGAAGUGACUGGUUUUAAGGUGCCAGUAACCCUGCUUUGCCCCUUCUCUUCUUAGUAGAAAUGGUUCCGCAGGGCUUAGUAGCUAAGGCACACGUAAAGGCCAAAACUGGACUUAGUUCUAUUUCAUUGGUUCUAUUUACUUGGUUUCUUUUCAUUGAUUCUACCGUAUUUUUUUGAUCUACUGUGAA